This 428-nucleotide ribosomal RNA is filed under the name uncultured prokaryote. Its description in RNAcentral is "bacterial SSU rRNA". It matches the Rfam family "Bacterial small subunit ribosomal RNA", at positions 355 to 774 of the family's 1533-position model. The record is from RNAcentral.
UGAGGAAUUUUGCGCAAUGGGAGCAAUCCUGACGCAGCAACGCCGCGUGGGUGAUGAAGGCCUUCGGGUCGUAAAGCCCUGUCAGGUGGGAAGAAUGUCCCGGAAUUGAACAGGUUUCGGGAGUGACGGUACCACCAGAGGAAGCACCGGCUACCUCCGUGCCAGCAGCCGCGGUAAUACGGAGGGUGCAAGCGUUAUUCGGAAUUACUGGGCGUAAAGCGCGUGUAGGAGGUCCUGCAAGUCUGAUGUGAAAGCCCCGGGCUUAACCCGGGAAGUGCAUUGGAAACUGCAGGUCUUGAGUACGGGAGAGGAUGGGGGAAUUCCCGGUGUAGAGGUGAAAUUCGUAGAGAUCGGGAGGAAUAUCAGUGGCGAAGGCGCCCAUCUGGACGGUAACUGACGCUGAGACGCGAAAGCGUGGGGAGCAAACA